AAUCUUCCGCAAUGGACGAAAGUCUGACGGAGCAACGCCGCGUGAGUGAUGAAGGUCUUCGGAUCGUAAAACUCUGUUAUCAGGGAAGAACAAGUAUCGGAGUAACUGCCGGUACCUUGACGGUACCUGACCAGAAAGCCACGGCUAACUACGUGCCAGCAGCCGCGGUAAUACGUAUGUGGCAAGCGUUGUCCGGAAUUAUUGGGCGUAAAGCGCGGACGGGCGGUCUCUUAAGUCUGAUGUGAAAUCUCGUGGCUCAACCACGAACGGUCAUUGGAAACUGGGGGACUUGAGUGCAGAAGAGAAGAGCGGAAUUCCACGUGUAGCGGUGAAAUGCGUAGAGAUGUGGAGGAACACCAGUGGCGAAGGCGGCUCUUUGGUCUGUAACUGACGCUGAGGUGCGAAAGCGUGGGGAGCAAAC
This 421-nucleotide ribosomal RNA is filed under the name uncultured bacterium. RNAcentral's name for it is "partial 16S ribosomal RNA". It matches the Rfam family "Bacterial small subunit ribosomal RNA", at positions 360 to 773 of the family's 1533-position model. The record is from RNAcentral.